RNAcentral lists this ribosomal RNA (1966 nucleotides) under Hyrcanus sp. RNAcentral describes it as "partial large subunit ribosomal RNA". The stretch from base 1 to 1735 matches the Rfam family "Eukaryotic large subunit ribosomal RNA", at positions 684 to 3401 of the family's 3401-position model. The record is from RNAcentral. Lineage: Eukaryota; Metazoa; Arthropoda; Insecta; Hemiptera; Hebridae.
GCGCGAGUCGUUGGGUCACUGCAAACCCAAAGGCGAAAUGAAAGUGAAGGAAAAGCUCCCCGCUUUCCGAGGGAGGAUGGGCGUGUCGGUCCACACCGUGGGCGGCGCCCCGCACUCCCGGGGCGUCUCCAGCUCACUGCGAGCGGAGGCGCACCUAGAGCGUACACGUUGGGACCCGAAAGAUGGUGAACUAUGCCUGGCCAGGACGAAGCCAGGGGAAACCCUGGUGGAGGUCCGUAGCGAUUCUGACGUGCAAAUCGAUCGUUAGAGCUGGGUAUAGGGGCGAAAGACCAAUCGAACCAUCUAGUAGCUGGUUCCCUCCGAAGUUUCCCUCAGGAUAGCUGGCACUCUCGUGUGACGAGUCUCAUCUGGUAAAGCGAAUGAUUAGAGGCCUUGGGGUCGAAACGACCUCAACCUAUUCUCAAACUUUAAAUAGAUGAGAACCCUGGCUUGCUUAAGGGUGAAGCCAGGGCUCGGAUCCGAGGGCCAAGUGGGCCAAUUUUGGUAAGCAGAACUGGCGCUGUGGGAUGAACCAAUCGCGGAGUUAAGGCGCCUAAAACGACGCUCAUCGGAACCCAUGAAAGGCGUUGGUUGCUUAAGACAGCAGGACGGUGGCCAUGGAAGUUGGAAUCCGCUAAGGAGUGUGUAACAACUCACCUGCCGAAGCAACUAGCCCUGAAAAUGGAUGGCGCUGUAGCGUCGUGCCUAUACUCCGCCGCCAACGGCGCACGGGGCGUCCCGCGAGGGACUCGCCCCGCUACGCCUUGGUGAGUAGGAGGGCCACGGCGAUGGCGUAGAAGGGUCCGGGCGUGAGCCCGCCUGGAGCCGUCGCCGCAGCAGAUCUUGGUGGUAGUAGCAAAUACUCCAGCGAGGCCCUGGAGGGCUGAUGUGGAGAAGGGUUUCUUGUGAACAGCUGUUGCACAAGAGUCAGUCGGUCCUAAGCCCUAGGAGAAAUCCGAUGCCGAUGGGUGCCGUUUCAGGAAUAUCCCCCCGCCGUCCCCCCGUGCCGCCUCGGCGUGGCCGGGCGACGUCGUCUCCCGUCCGGUGGGUUUGUCCCCACCGGCCGGUCGAGCCGUCGCCGGCGCUGGGCGGAGUGGAGGACGCGGGUCCCGCGGUGGCACCCUUGGUGGGCGAAAGGGAAUCCGGUUCCUAUUCCGGAACCUGGCUACGGAACCGUUCCAAGUCGGGCCCUCGGACGAGUGCUCGUCGGGGUAACCCAAAAGGUCCCGGAGACGCCGCCGGGAGAUCCGGGGAGAGUUGUCUCUUCUCUAUAAGCGUUCGAGUUCCCUGGAAACCUCUAGCAGGGAGAUAGGGUUUGGAACGCGAAAAGCGCCGCAGUUACAGCGGCGUCCGGAUCUUCCCCGCGGACCUUGAAAAUCCGGGUGAGGGCUACGAGGAACCCCGUGCCAGACCGUACCCAUAUCCGCAGCAGGUCUCCAAGGUGAAUAGCCUCUAGUCGUUAAAUAUGAGNNNNNNNNNNNNNNNCGCGGUUGUUCCCCGCCAAUAGGGAACGUGAGCUGGGUUUAGACCGUCGUGAGACAGGUUAGUUUUACCCUACUGAUAAACAAUCAUUGUGACGGUAAUCCUGCUCAGUACGAGAGGAACCGCAGAUUCGGACAUUUGGUUCACGCACUCGGUCGACAGACCGGUGGUGCGAGGCUACCAUCCGCGGGAUUAUGCCUGAACGCCUCUAAGGCCGAAUCCCGCCUGGCAGCCCCUGAUAUCCCUAAGGGGUCCCUUGAGUCGGAAGGCUCAAAACAAUGUGUCACUGUAGGCGGCCGCAAGGCCGUCGCCCGAGCCAUAUUGCCGCGGGGGCCCUCGCGCGGGUCCGGGCCGGCGACAGCCGGCCCGGGCUCCGGCCCCCGUGCGUAACAUGGGUCACCCACUGGGAGUUCGAUGUUGGGACCCGGAAUCGUCUGCAGACGACUUACGUACCGUAGCGGGGUGUUGUACUCGGGAGAGAGGU